RNAcentral lists this ribosomal RNA (197 nucleotides) under uncultured bacterium. RNAcentral describes it as "partial 16S ribosomal RNA". It matches the Rfam family "Bacterial small subunit ribosomal RNA", at positions 328 to 539 of the family's 1533-position model. The record is from RNAcentral.
ACGCUCGACACCUACGGAGGCAGCAGUGGGGGAUAUUGCACAAUGGGGGAAACCCUGAUGCAGCAACGCCGCGUGAGGGAAGAAGGUUUUCGGAUUGUAAACCUCUGUCCCCGGGGAAGAUAAUGACGGUACCCGGGGAGGAAGCUCCGGCUAACUACGUGCCAGUAGCCGCGGUAAUCUGAGCGGGCUGGCAAGGC